Nilaparvata lugens (brown planthopper) is the source of this 1218-nucleotide long non-coding RNA. RefSeq lists it as uncharacterized. The transcript is spliced from 3 exons. The record is from RefSeq and is a predicted model, not a curated record. NCBI's taxonomy places the organism in Eukaryota, Metazoa, Arthropoda, Insecta, Hemiptera, Delphacidae.
CUAAUAAAAUAUAAUACGUACAUAUUUAUUAUUUUUUUAGAAAAUUGAAUAUGUUAUCAAUAUAAUAGCAUUACGUUUAUAGGUUAUGUUAUGAAUAAUAAUAAUGUAAGUGCAACGUACAUUUGCAUUUUGCAACAGAAACAGCUUCUUAUGGAGUAUUGUUUUACAGGCUAGUGGCUACUAUUUUUUCAUGUAAUGUAUUAAAAUGUAAUUAUAAUUAGGAUUGGGAUAAUACAAAAAUAUACUUUUUGGUUAGUGAUAUCUAUUACAUUGUGACAGAAUUUGGUUUCUCAAUAACUGUCAUCGUGAGUGCCAAACUGAUCAAUUGCAUCCUAAUGGAACGUUCAAGAUGUGAUUCAGUAACUGAUACGGUAGUUGCAAUCAUCAUUUUUGACCAAAUGAUAUCAAAGAUUAUUAGGUUGAAUGUUGAUGCCAUUGAAAUAAGCUACAAUAUUGACCAACAAUGCAGACAUGAAGAUACUGCGAUUGUAUCAGCUUGUGUUCAACAAGAAAAUUGUGGAACUUAUUGUGUUAAAUUCAUAUUCAAAAUGAAUAUUAACAGACUAUGGUUUGAAAUAGAAUUGACAGUACGAAAAAGUGAUUUUACAUGUGUUGAAACAAUUGUAAAGUCAAACAGUGCGUCAUUUUACUUCUCAUCAUUUCUUUUGAAAGGUACAUAAUUAUUAAUAGUGAAAUACUACUAUGGUUCUUGUUCUCCUCACCAUCAUCAACAUCAUCAACCUUAUAUUGUGACUUGUAUGCCACCACUAACACUCUAUAGUGUGUGUAUUCAUGUUUUAUAUAUAAAUCUUUCACUUAUUAUUGUAAUUAUUAUAUGUUACUAUCAACACUGACACUCUUUGUUUUGUUAUUCAGAAGAAAAUCAUAGUGUUUUUAAGGUUGUGUAUGUGUUUGUCAAAUCAAAUUUGUGACUUGUAUGCCACUAACACACUCUAUAGUGUUCAUGUCUAUAAUAUAAAUCUUUCACUUAUUAUUGUUAAUAUUAUUAUAUGUUACUAAUACUCUUGUUUGUUAUACAAUACUGUCACUCUUGUUUGUUAUUCAGAAGAAAAUCAAAAGUUUUGUGUGUUCAUUCCAUGAUGUGUUAAUAAAAAAAGCAUAACUAACUCACACUGUCUUUCUCUCUCUUUCUUCUCUAUUCCUAACUCCAACUACACUAAACACACAACUGAAAACUGUGUCAGUUGUUGUUCUAGA